AUUGAACGCUGGCGGCAGGCUUAACACAUGCAAGCCGAGCGGGGGAAGGUAGCUUGCUACCGGACCUAGCGGCGGACGGGUGAGUAAUGCUUAGGAAUCUGCCUAUUAGUGGGGGACAACAUCUCGAAAGGGAUGCUGAUACCGCAUACGUCCUACGGGAGAAAGCAGGGGAUCUUCGGACCUUGCGCUAAUAGAUGAGCCUAAGUCGGAUUAGCUGGUUGGUGGGGUAAAGGCCUACCAAGGCGACGAUCUGUAGCGGGUCUGAGAGGAUGAUCGGCCACACUGGGACUGAGAGACGGCCCAGAAUCCUACGGGAGGCAGCAGUGGGGAAUAUUGGACAAUGGGGGGAACCCUGAUCCAGCCAUGCCGCGUGUGUGAAGAAGGCCUUAUGGUUGUAAAGCACUUUAAGCGAGGAGGAGGCUACUCUAGUUAAUACCUAGGGAUAGUGGACGUUACUCGCAGAAUAAGCACCGGCUAACUCUGUGCCAGCAGCCGCGGUAA
RNAcentral lists this ribosomal RNA (501 nucleotides) under uncultured bacterium. Its description in RNAcentral is "partial 16S ribosomal RNA". It matches the Rfam family "Bacterial small subunit ribosomal RNA", at positions 30 to 523 of the family's 1533-position model. The record is from RNAcentral.